GGAAUCUUCCACAAUGGACGCAAGUCUGAUGGAGCAACGCCGCGUGAGUGAAGAAGGUUUUCGGAUCGUAAAGCUCUGUUGUUGGUGAAGAAGGAUAGAGGCAGUAACUGGUCUUUAUUUGACGGUAAUCAACCAGAAAGUCACGGCUAACUACGUGCCAGCAGCCGCGGUAAUACGUAGGUGGCAAGCGUUGUCCGGAUUUAUUGGGCGUAAAGCGAGCGCAGGCGGAAUGAUAAGUCUGAUGUGAAAGCCCACGGCUCAACCGUGGAACUGCAUCGGAAACUGUCAUUCUUGAGUGCAGAAGAGGAGAGUGGAACUCCAUGUGUAGCGGUGGAAUGCGUAGAUAUAUGGAAGAACACCAGUGGCGAAGGCGGCUCUCUGGUCUGCAACUGACGCUGAGGCUCGAAAGCGUGGGUAGCGAACAGGAUUAGAUACCCUGGUAGUCCAUGCCGUAAACGAUGAGCGCUAGGUGUUGGGGACUUUCCGGUUCUCAGUGCCGCAGCAAACGCAUUAAGCGCUCCGCCUGGGGAGUACGACCGCAAGGUUGAAACUCCAAUGAAUUGAC
RNAcentral lists this ribosomal RNA (565 nucleotides) under uncultured bacterium. RNAcentral describes it as "partial 16S ribosomal RNA". It matches the Rfam family "Bacterial small subunit ribosomal RNA", at positions 358 to 914 of the family's 1533-position model. The record is from RNAcentral.